GAUUAAAUGGCUGAAUAUUAGGCAAUAGAUUGUAAAUCUAUUUAUGAAAGUUUAUUUCUUUAAUCAA
RNAcentral lists this transfer RNA (67 nucleotides) under Xylomya moiwana. RNAcentral describes it as "tRNA-Tyr". It matches the Rfam family "tRNA". From Rfam's summary of the family: Transfer RNA (tRNA) molecules are approximately 80 nucleotides in length. Their secondary structure includes four short double-helical elements and three loops (D, anti-codon, and T loops). Lineage: Eukaryota; Metazoa; Arthropoda; Insecta; Diptera; Xylomyidae. The record is from RNAcentral.